AGCAGCCGCGGUAAUUCCAGCUCCAAUAGCGUAUACUAAAGUUGUUGCAGUUAAAAGCUCGUAGUUGAAUUUCGGGAUCAAUUAAUUGGUCGUGCCUAUGGUACGUACUGAUUUUAUUGGUUUCUCCCUUCUGACGAACCAUGAUGUCAUUAAUUUGGUGUCGUGGAGAAUCAGGACUGUUACUUUGAAAAAAUUAGAGUGUUUAAAGCAGGCUAACGCUUGAAUACAUUAGCAUGGAAUAAUGAAAUAGGACGUUUGAUCCUAUUUUGUUGGUUUCUAGGAUCGACGUAAUGAUUAAUAGGGAUAGUUGGGGGCAUUAGUAUUCAAUUGUCAGAGGUGAAAUUCUUGGAUUUAUUGAAGACUAACUACUGCGAAAGCAUUUGCCAAGGAUGUUUUCAUUAAUCAAGAACGAAAGUUAGGGGAUCGAAGACGAUCAGAUACCGUCGUAGUCUUAACCAUAAACUAUGCCGACUAGGGAUCGGAUGAUGUUAAUUUUAUAAUGACUCAUUCGGCACCUUAC
RNAcentral lists this ribosomal RNA (520 nucleotides) under uncultured Glomus. Its description in RNAcentral is "SSU rRNA". It matches the Rfam family "Eukaryotic small subunit ribosomal RNA", at positions 569 to 1091 of the family's 1831-position model. Lineage: Eukaryota; Fungi; Glomeromycota; Glomeromycetes; Glomerales; Glomeraceae. The record is from RNAcentral.